AAACCAUUCUACUUACCCCCUAGUAUCGGAGACAGAACAGGACCCUCGGAGCGAUAGAAAAAGUACCGCAAGGGAAAGCUGAAAAAGAAAUGAAACAAACCAGUUAAGCCCAUCAAAGCAGAGAUUAAACCUCGUACCUUUUGCAUCAUGAUUUAGCCAGCAUAACUCAAGCGAAGCGACCUUUAGUUUGAGACCCCGAAACUGAGUGAGCUACUCCAAGCCAGCCUAUCUAAUUAAGGGCACACCCGUCUCUGUGGCAAAAGAGUGGGAAGAGCUUCGAGUAGGGGCGAUAAACCUACCGAACUCAGUUAUAGCUGGUUGCCUGAGAAAUGAAUAUUAGUUCAGCCUCUUACCUUCUUCCACUCCCCACUAACAACUUUAACCAAGGAUGAAAAGAAGAAAAGAGAGUUAGUCAAAGGGGGGACAGCCCCUUUGAAACAGACACAACUUUACCAGGAGGGUAAGGAUCAAACUCAACCAAGGAGUCACCCCUAAGUUGGCCUAAAAGCAGCCAUCUUUAAAGAAAGCGUUAAAGCUCAGACUACUACACUUACUCCCUUUAUUCUGAUAACCUACUCCAAACCCCCUAACCCUACCAGGCCAUUCUAUUAACAUAGAAGCGACCAUGCUAGAAUGAGUAAUCAGGGAAAAACAGCCUCCCUCAAGUCGCAUGUGUAACUCGGAACGGACCCCCCACCGAAUAUUAACGGCCCCAAGCACAGAGGGCAAUAAAACUACCCACCCCACGCUAGAAAACCUUUUACUGACCUAGACCGUUAAACCAACACAGGAGCGCACCAAAUGAAAGACUAAAAGAAAGGGAAGGAACCCGGCAAACCCCCCAAGCCUUGCCUGUUUAUCAAAAACAUCCCUCUUGCAAUCCCAAGAAUAAGAGGUCCUGCCUGCCCAGAGACACUUAGUUAAACGGCCGCGGUAUUGUGGCCCGUGCGAAACGUAGCGCAAUCACUUGUCUUUUAAAAUGAAGACCUGUAUGAAAUGGCAAGACGAAGGCUUAACUGUCUCCCCCCUCCAGUCAAUGAAAUUUGAUCUCCCCGUGCAGAAGCGGGGAUAAACACAUAAGACGAGAAGACCCUGUGGAGCUUAAGACAACAAGACCAACCUGUCAAAAAUAACAAAACAAAGCUAAACGAACUAAAUGGCCCUGUCCUUGUGUCUUCGGUUGGGGCGACCAUGGGGAACUAAAAAACCCCCACGUGGAACAAGAGCACCUCUACUCUCACAAACCAGAGGGACACCUCUAAUUAACAGAACUUCUGACCUAAAAUGACCCGGCUUAAGCCGAUCAACGAACCAAGUUACCCCAGGGAUAACAGCGCAAU
This 1340-nucleotide ribosomal RNA is filed under the name Pseudaesopia japonica (wavyband sole). RNAcentral's name for it is "16S ribosomal RNA". It matches the Rfam family "Bacterial large subunit ribosomal RNA", at positions 390 to 2486 of the family's 2925-position model. Lineage: Eukaryota; Metazoa; Chordata; Actinopteri; Pleuronectiformes; Soleidae. The record is from RNAcentral.